Molecule: ribosomal RNA, 528 nt
Filed under: uncultured bacterium
Lineage: Bacteria
Description: bacterial SSU rRNA
Rfam family: Bacterial small subunit ribosomal RNA
Source: RNAcentral
AUUAGCUAGUUGGUGGGGUAAUUGCCUACCAAGGCGACGAUCCGUAGCUGGUCUGAGAGGAUGAUCAGCCACACUGGAACUGAAACACGGUCCAGACUCCUACGGGAGGCAGCAGUGAGGAAUCUUGCGCAAUGGGGGAAACCCUGACGCAGCGACGCCGUGUGAGUGAAGAAGGCCUUCGGGUCGUAAAGCUCUGUCAAGUGGGAAUAAAAUCCUGCGGUUAAUAACCGCUGGAUAUGAAGGUACCACUAGAGGAAGCACCGGCUAACUCCGUGCCAGCAGCCGCGGUAAUACGGAGGGUGCAAGCGUUAUUCGGAUUUAUUGGGCGUAAAGAGCGUGUAGGCGGUUGGGUUAGUCAGAUGUGAAAUCCUUCUGCUCAACAGAAGAAGUACGUCUGAAACUGCUCAACUUGAGUACGAGAGAGGAAAGUGGAAUUCCCAAUAUAGAGGUGAAAUUCGUAGAUAUUGGGAGGAACACCUGUGGCGAAGGCGACUUUCUGGAUCGAUACUGACGCUGAGACGCGAAAGC